Molecule: ribosomal RNA, 493 nt
Filed under: uncultured bacterium
Lineage: Bacteria
Description: partial 16S ribosomal RNA
Rfam family: Bacterial small subunit ribosomal RNA
Source: RNAcentral
ACGAACGCUGGCGGCGUGCUUAACACAUGCAAGUCGAACGGUGAAGCGCCUUCCUUUUUGGUGGGUGUGGAUGAGUGGCGAACGGGUGAGUAACACGUGAGUAACCUGCCCCCUUCUUCUGGAUAACCGCAUGAAAGUGUGGCUAAUACGGGAUAUUCUGGGUCUGUCGCAUGAUGGGUCUGGGAAAGAUAUUGUUUCGGUGGGGGAUGGGCUCGCGGCCUAUCAGCUUGUUGGUGGGGUGAUGGCCUACCAAGGCGGUGACGGGUAGCCGGCCUGAGAGGGUGGACGGUCACACUGGGACUGAGACACGGCACAGACUCCUACGGGAGGCAGCAGUGGGGAAUAUUGCACAAUGGGCGCAAGCCUGAUGCAGCGACGCCGCGUGAGGGAUGGAGGCCUUCGGGUUGUGAACCUCUUUCGCCAGUGAAGCAGGCCUGCCUCGUUUGUGGGUGGGUUGACGGCAGCUGGAUAAGAAGCGCCGGCUAACUACGUG